RNAcentral lists this ribosomal RNA (351 nucleotides) under uncultured bacterium. RNAcentral's name for it is "bacterial SSU rRNA". It matches the Rfam family "Bacterial small subunit ribosomal RNA", at positions 28 to 337 of the family's 1533-position model. The record is from RNAcentral.
GAUGAACGCUGGCGGCGUGCCUAAUACAUGCAAGUCGAACGCAUUGUGGUUGAAAUGAUAUGAAGAACUUGUUCAGAUUUGAUUUUCAACAUUGCAAUGAGUGGCGAACGGGUGAGUAACACGUGGGAAACCUACCUCUUAGCAGGGGAUAACAUUUGGAAACAAAUGCUAAUACCGUAUAAAUAAUUAAAACCGCAAUGGUUUUUAGUUUAAAAGAUGGUCUUGCUAUCACUAAGAGAUGGUCCCGCGGUGUAUUAGUUAGUUGGUGAGGUAAUGGCUCACCAAGACAAUGAUACAUAGCCGAGUUGAGAGACUGACCGGCCACAAUGGGACUGAGACACGGCCCAUACU